Molecule: long non-coding RNA, 514 nt
Filed under: Fukomys damarensis (Damara mole-rat)
Lineage: Eukaryota; Metazoa; Chordata; Mammalia; Rodentia; Bathyergidae
Description: lncRNA (ENSFDAG00000033594.1)
Source: RNAcentral
UUGAUGCAACCUGCAAGGUGCUGGCUUCCUUUCAUUUCCCAAGGGCCAUCGCGUGGCCUCUGAUCCUUCUGUGCAGCCCAGUGCUUUCCUGUGGUCUUCCACAUCCUCUGCUGACUCUCGCUGCUCUCAAGAGUUGGCCCGGAGGAAUCUUCCAGAACUCCUAUUCAUUCGUCAAGACCUACGCCAAAAGUCCAUUUCCUGACCUAAUUCUGAAGAAGCAGCCACGCCCUCCUCUGCGUCCCCACCGCUGCCCUCCCUAUGCCUUGGUAGGGUUCUCACUGCACUGAGACACCAUCAUUGUGCCACUGCCCUUCUCCCGUGUUGUGCCACCUGUUAGUAAGCUCUCCUUACCAGGCUAGCUUUGUCAUCUCCUCCUCCAGGUAGUUCAGCCCAUCCCCUUUAGAACUCUGUAGGUCUUUGAGAACUAAUGUUUUAAGGACAUCUUUUUGGCUCUUCAAGGUCCAAAUUUUAUGAGAACUCUGGAAUGUAGCAAAACAGGUUGACUUUUAUUGUC